GGGCGGUUGCGCAUGCGCGCGCGGACUUGCCGACGAGGGGGCGGGGUGCGUUGAAGCCGGAGGAUGAGAUGAUUACAAUGAGAAUGAGCUGGUCAGCCUGCGGACUCUGCAUUUGCUACGAAGGCCUAGAAGAGGAUAUUUCAUUGUCUAUUCCAAGUGGUGUGUAGCAGAGAACACUCUGAUCUCAGGGACACAUACCAUGACAAAUCCUGCGGCAAGAAGAGAGCAUGACCUGGAUGGUGGAUGUUGCAUUCUAGUGGCAACGAUCCUUGUAGAGGUGCACAAUGGCGGGGAGGGCUUUCUUGUGAAGAAUUGGGCUGUAUAUGUUAUCUUUGUUCUUAAUAAAAACAAACCUAGUGUGGGUAAAUGCUAGAACAAUUUUAUUCCUCCAGUCUGUUCAACACUGAGCAUGUGUGACCAGCUCACCAUAAUCACUUCCAGUUCUGGGAUGAACCGCCUUCAUUGACCACUGGGAACUGAAUUUAUUUCUUAUGUAUACACAUAAUAACACAUCUUCCCCCUUUAAAGAAAAACAAACACAAUAGUAUGCCCUCAUAAACCUGCAAGGAACAAUAAUCCUUUCCAAUAAAGAUAUCUACAUUAACUUCAAUUGUAAUGAGCAAAUACAGGGUCUUGUUCACUCACCACCUUUCAAUGAGUCUAUGAGGUAGGGUCUCGGACCGUAAUGUCAUCAAUGCUUCUCCCUAUAGAAGCUGCCUGGCCUGCUGUGUUCCACCAAC
Long non-coding RNA from Hypanus sabinus (Atlantic stingray), 740 nucleotides. RefSeq lists it as uncharacterized. The transcript is spliced from 3 exons. Lineage: Eukaryota; Metazoa; Chordata; Chondrichthyes; Myliobatiformes; Dasyatidae. The record is from RefSeq and is a predicted model, not a curated record.